Long non-coding RNA from Lates calcarifer (barramundi perch), 1811 nucleotides. RefSeq lists it as uncharacterized. The transcript has 5 exons. The record is from RefSeq and is a predicted model, not a curated record. NCBI's taxonomy places the organism in Eukaryota, Metazoa, Chordata, Actinopteri, Centropomidae.
GCAGAGACCUUGUCAAAGACGAGAGAGACGUUGUCCAUGAUCAGAGACAUUGUCCCAUGCUUUGCAGAGCUCUGCGCAAGAAUCGGUAGAGACACUGUGGUUCCUCGAUUCGACGGCAUGACCGCGAUCAUGGAGAUAUUUGUCGAUGAUUACAGAGACACCGUCUAUGAUCUCAGAGACAUCGUCCACGAUCACAAAGACAUUGUCCAUGAUCACAGAGACUUUGUCCAUAAUCUCAGAGACAUUGUCCGCGAUCACAGAGACGUAGUCCACGAUCACAGAGUCUUCGUACAAUGAAGAAGUUCUUUGAGACCAGGACAGAGGCCUCCAGGUGUCACCACUUCAUCCACAACAUCAUCUACGAUCGCCGAGACAUGGUCCAUGGUCGGAGAGACAUUGUUGAGGAUGAGGGAGACAUCGUCCACGAUCAGAGACACUGUCCACGAUCGCAGAGACCUUGUCAAAGACGAGAGAGACGUUGUCCAUGAUCAGAGACAUUGUCCCAUGCUUCGCAGAGCUCUGCGCAAGAAUCGGUAGAGACACUGUGGUUCCUCGAUUCGACGGCAUGACCGCGAUCAUGGAGAUAUUUGUCGAUGAUUACAGAGACACCGUCUAUGAUCUCAGAGACAUCGUCCACGAUCACAAAGACAUUGUCCAUGAUCACAGAGACUUUGUCCAUAAUCUCAGAGACUUUGUCCGCGAUCACAGAGACGUAGUCCACGAUCAAAGAGAGUCUUCGUACAAUGAAGAAGUUCUUUGAGACCAGGACAGAGGCCUCCAGGUGUCACCACUUCAUCCACGACAUCAUCUACGAUCGCCGAGACAUGGUCCAUGGUCGGAGAGACAUUGUUGAGGAUGAGGGAGACAUCGUCCACGAUCAGAGACACUGUCCACGAUCGCAGAGACCUUGUCAAAGACGAGAGAGACGUUGUCCAUGAUCAGAGACAUUGUCCCAUGCUUCGCAGAGCUCUGCGCAAGAAUCGGUAGAGACACUGUGGUUCCUCGAUUCGACGGCAUGACCGCGAUCAUGGAGAUAUUUGUCGAUGAUUACAGAGACACCGUCUAUGAUCUCAGAGACAUCGUCCACGAUCACAAAGACAUUGUCCAUGGUUGCAGAGACAUUGUCCAUAAUCUCAGAGACUUUGUCCGCGAUCACAGAGACGUAGUCCACGAUCAACGAGAGUCUUCGUACAAUGAAGAAGUUCUUUGAGACCAGGACAGAGGCCUCCAGGUGUCACCACUUCAUCCACAACAUCAUCUACGAUCGCCGAGACAUGGUCCAUGGUCGGAGAGACAUUGUUGAGGAUGAGGGAGACAUCGUCCACGAUCAGAGACACUGUCCACGAUCGCAGAGACCUUGUCAAAGACGAGAGAGACGUUGUCCAUGAUCAGAGACAUUGUCCCAUGCUUCGCAGAGCUCUGCGCAAGAAUCGGUAGAGACACUGUGGUUCCUCGAUUCGACGGCAUGACCGCGAUCAUGGAGAUAUUUGUCGAUGAUUACAGAGACACCGUCUAUGAUCUCAGAGACAUCGUCCACGAUCACAAAGACAUUGUCCAUGAUCACAGAGACUUUGUCCAUAAUCUCAGAGACUUUGUCCGCGAUCACAGAGACGUAGUCCACGAUCAAAGAGAGUCUUCGUACAAUGAAGAAGUUCUUUGAGACCAGGACAGAGGCCUCCAGGUGUCACCACUUCAUCCACGACAUCAUCUACGAUCGCCGAGACAUGGUCCAUGGUCGGAGAGACAUUGUUGAGGAUGAGGGAGACAUCGUCCACGAUCAGAGACACUGUCCACGAUCGCAGAGACCUUGU